This 558-nucleotide ribosomal RNA is filed under the name Meyerozyma guilliermondii. Its description in RNAcentral is "eukaryotic LSU rRNA". It matches the Rfam family "Eukaryotic large subunit ribosomal RNA", at positions 84 to 658 of the family's 3401-position model. Lineage: Eukaryota; Fungi; Ascomycota; Pichiomycetes; Serinales; Debaryomycetaceae. The record is from RNAcentral.
UAGCGGCGAGUGAAGCGGCAAAAGCUCAAAUUUGAAAUCUGGCGCCUUCGGUGUCCGAGUUGUAAUUUGAAGAUUGUAACCUUGGGGUUGGCUCUUGUCUAUGUUUCUUGGAACAGGACGUCACAGAGGGUGAGAAUCCCGUGCGAUGAGAUGCCCAAUUCUAUGUAAGGUGCUUUCGAAGAGUCGAGUUGUUUGGGAAUGCAGCUCUAAGUGGGUGGUAAAUUCCAUCUAAAGCUAAAUAUUGGCGAGAGACCGAUAGCGAACAAGUACAGUGAUGGAAAGAUGAAAAGAACUUUGAAAAGAGAGUGAAAAAGUACGUGAAAUUGUUGAAAGGGAAGGGUUUGAGAUCAGACUCGAUAUUUUGUGAGCCUUGCCUUCGUGGCGGGGUGACCCGCAGCUUAUCGGGCCAGCAUCGGUUUGGGCGGUAGGAUAAUGGCGUAGGAAUGUGACUUUACUUCGGUGAAGUGUUAUAGCCUGCGUUGAUGCUGCCUGCCUAGACCGAGGACUGCGAUUUUAUCAAGGAUGCUGGCAUAAUGAUCCCAAACCGCCCGUCUUGAA